Molecule: non-coding RNA, 442 nt
Organism: Plectropomus leopardus (leopard coralgrouper)
Lineage: Eukaryota; Metazoa; Chordata; Actinopteri; Perciformes; Serranidae
Source: the annotation of a RefSeq genome assembly
AAGAGCUCACAUCAGCUCAGCUUCAACAUCAACCAUGUUCUCUGUAGCUCUGAUACUGCUGCUGGCAGCUGGAUCCUGUGUGAACAGUAUCAGUCUCAUCCAGCCAGACUCACUGGUCGUGCAGGCUGGACAGCCUUUGACCAUCACCUGUCAGGUCUCUGGUUAUUCUUUGACUGAUAACAGAUAUGCAACAGGUUGGAUCAGACAGUGUGAAGGAAAACCAAUGGACUGGAUUUCUCACAUGUGGGGUGGCGGUACUUUUCGUCAAAAUGGGGCUCUGAAGAACAAGUUCAGCUACAGCAGAGAAACUUCUGCUGGACCAGUUACUCUGAAAGGACAGAGUCUAAGGGCUGAGGACACAGCUGUGUAUUACUGUGUGCGUAUAACCUCCACAGUGAUACAAACCAAAACAGACCCGCACAAAUACCCAGCAACCAUGUGA